AGCGAAUCGACGUUUCUAGAACUAUGCGCUUGUCGCUACAUUGUAUAUAUUUCGCCAGUCCUGUAAGACGAUCUGUUUGCGACACUGUAGUGCCAUGAGCGACGGUUAGGAAUACGGCCUAUGGAAUACCUUUUCCAUUUGGAAAGGUGCAAACGAGUGCAGCUUGGAAACAGCGUGAGGAAGAAGGUGGAUCGCAAACCCCGUUGGCAAAAAGAAUCAUUCAUUUCCCGAGUUAUAAAGUUUAAGGUUUCAAGGCUUAAUUAAAGUCUACAGGGCAAGUUUCGACGAAAAUCUCUUCGAAAAGAAAUAUUCUCUUCGCCGACUCCUCCGUACAGUAAGAAAUUCGUUCAACAAGUGGAAUCGUAAAACUGUCAAAUAUAUUUCCACGAAUUUUACUUGUGAAAUUACCGCUUUUGUUUGUGCAAGAUAAUCAAGAGAAUAUAUCGAUUUAUAAGAAGCUCUAACUCGGAUAUUAACUGUCAU
Molecule: unclassified non-coding RNA, 483 nt
Filed under: Bombus terrestris (buff-tailed bumblebee)
Lineage: Eukaryota; Metazoa; Arthropoda; Insecta; Hymenoptera; Apidae
Description: misc RNA ENSBTSG00005034049.1
Source: RNAcentral